Molecule: transfer RNA, 88 nt
Filed under: Gammaproteobacteria bacterium
Lineage: Bacteria; Pseudomonadati; Pseudomonadota; Gammaproteobacteria
Description: tRNA-Ser
Rfam family: tRNA
About the family: Transfer RNA (tRNA) molecules are approximately 80 nucleotides in length. Their secondary structure includes four short double-helical elements and three loops (D, anti-codon, and T loops). Further hydrogen bonds mediate the characteristic L-shaped molecular structure. tRNAs have two regions of fundamental functional importance: the anti-codon, which is responsible for specific mRNA codon recognition, and the 3' end, to which the tRNAs corresponding amino acid is attached (by aminoacyl-tRNA synthetases). tRNAs cope with the degeneracy of the genetic code in two manners: having more than one tRNA (with a specific anti-codon) for a particular amino acid; and 'wobble' base-pairing, i.e. permitting non-standard base-pairing at the 3rd anti-codon position.
Source: RNAcentral
GGAGAGGUGUCUGAGUGGUUUAAGGUGACAGCUUGGAAAGUUGUUGUGGGGUAACCCACCGUAGGUUCGAAUCCUAUCCUCUCCGCCA